ACUGGACAAUUGGAAAUUCGACGGCGAGGCGAUUGUUUCGAAACACGAUUAUACGAAACUUUUCGAAAAUGUGUGCAACGCGUGCGCGUCGCGGUCGAUAAGCACUCUUCGAAAACGAGUCGGUCGAUGUGAGGAAGGCUUCUUCGAGAAUGGAAAUUUUAAAAGAAAAUUGGAAUCUGUUAGAAAAUCAAUUGAAAAUCGAAUGAAAUAUGAUAUAUUUAACAAGUAAUGUGCAAAGAAUUAAACAAUUUAAAUUAAUUUACGUAUUAAAUCCAAACUUGAUUUAAUGCUCCGCCCACUUUUGCAAAAAAAUCCAAGUUUUCAAGCAAAUUUUUGAUGUAAAUAACGUUUUUAUUUGAUUUUUCAAUAUUUUUAUUCAAUUUAUCGUUUUACAUACAAAAUAAAUUGAUUUUCUACCCAUAAUCUACAAUUCGCCAGUCGAUAUUCCCCCAGACAAUCGUGAGGUGUCCAGCAACCUGCACAUCUAAUUUGCUGGCAGUAUGCCAGUUUUCUCUGCACUCUCCACGUUUUGUGUGGUCUCUGAGUUGCUAUUAUUUUUUAAAUUAAAUUAAAUUAAUAAAUCUUUAUUUUCGGCGUUUUUAAAGUUUUUAAGCUAAAAAACUAGAUUUUCAGCACUAUGAGAAGCUCAAAAGGAGGUCGGGGACGUCAAGCGGCGCCAAAAACCGCUCCAACCACUGUCUGCUACUGCGACGGAAAGCGAGAGCUUGGCUCAGUGGAAGUAGUGUGCUCGACGUGUCUCAAAUGGUUCCACGGACGAUGUCUAAAAGAGUUUCACGAGUUUUCCAGAAACAGCAACGGCGUGCCUUUCAUGAUUUGCUACACGUUCACCUGCAAACAAUGCCGGCCGACGGCCGAAGAUUGGAAGGCUAAAAAGGCGGAUUUAGUGCAAAUGUGUGUUACAGUGCUCGCCACACUGUCCGCCGAGCGGCUUAAAGCCGACGGAAAGCUCUCGGCUGAGCAUGUUCCAGAGGAUUUUACAUAUUUAAGUCUGAAAGAUGAAAUUGUGCCAUAUAUGAAUGAGAAUUGGUAUAUGCUCACUGCAAUCAAGCAGAAAAAGGAAUGGCAUCAGAAUUUGGCGCCAACUUUGCUCAAAGAGAAGAAUAUUUUCGUGCAACACAACGACGAUGAUGAUCUAUUUGCAUUGGCAGAAAAGAAUUUAUCACUUCUAGGACCACUACACGAGGCAGUUAAACUAAUCGGAAAACGUCCAAUCGAAAGGGAAAACCGUGAGCCACGUCAUAUUGAGCUUCCACCGAUUGAGGGACCGAAAACUCGUGGAGCAUCGAAACGCCGGCACGCCGAGGCUCCGGUGACCGGAAAAAAGCAGAAAUUAGCAGCCGACUAUUCAUCAACUGCAGCUCCAAAUGGUGUUCAGAUUGAUAUACCAUUCAGUAAGGACAAUUAUCGAUAUUAUCUCACUGAAGUCGAUCCAAAUGUACCGGAAGAACCGAUUUUCCCGAUUUUUCUCGCUUUUUCGUUGUUCUACAUUGAAAUUUUCCCCAGCAUGGAAUCAAAAUCAAUCAUCAGCGUAUGUGAUACCAUCAUUUCAUUAUCGAGAACUAUUAAAUCCAACAGUAAAUGUAUCAUCAAAUGAUCGUGCAUUUCAAUUAUCGAUUAAUGGAAAUUCAAUAACUGGAUUUGAAGGAUAUUCAAUGGCACGUGCAAGUCAUGGUGUAUCUAAAGGAACAUGGUAUUUCGAAGUUAAUUUUGAUGAUCAACCUGAUGAUUCACAUAUUCGUAUUGGAUGGAGUCAGUCUUAUGCAUCCCUGCAAGCAUGUGUUGGAUACAACAAAUUCUCAUAUGGAUGGCGAUCGAAACACGGAACGAAAUUUCAUGAGGCAAAAGGAAAAAAGUAUCAUUUUGGAGGUUUUAAGCAAGGCGACGUUCUCGGCUGUCUAAUCCAUCUUCCAGUGGACAAAAAACUGCAGAUUCCGGCAAAUUUGCCAUCGGAAAAGUAUCUUCCAGUAUCACACAAAGGCUUCAAUUUGAUAUCAUUUAAAGCGAAUUAUUUCUUUGAAGUCCAAGAGGAGUCCGCAGAUAUUGCAAAGACUCUGGUGGAAAUGCCUGGAAGCUAUAUCGAGUUCUUCCACAAUGGAAAAUCGUGCGGAAAAGCAUAUGAGAAUAUCUACGCCGGCGCCUAUUACCCGUCGAUUUCCAUAUUUAAAUCUGCCACAGCCACCAUGAAUCUCGGCCCUAAAUUCCGUAAUCUGCCACGUGGUGCCACCGGAAUCCACGCGAGAGCCGACGAGCAGCAACACGAACAAACUCUUUCGGAUAUGCUGUAUUUGGUGUCAAAAGAAGUGAAUUUGGACCAUCCGCCGCGUGUAAAACGAGAGGACGAUGAUGACGUGAAGGAUAUCAAGAAAGAAAUUAAACAAGAAAUUUGAGAAAAUUGGCUGAAAAUUCAAUUUUAUUUGGAAUUUUUUUUCUCCUGUGAAUUACCAAAAUUUGUGUGCAAAUUUUCAAAAAAAUCUGAUUUUUUUUCGAUUUUUCAGACAUUUUCCUAUUUCUUUUUUCAACUAAUAUUAUUCCUGGCAAUGUGCCAAAUUUUCCUUAAAAAACCCUUUUUUUGUCAUUUUUCUCGAUUUUUCCCCAAAAAAUCCCUUAUGAGCUCCCAUUUUCCAUGGAAAUUCUAACAUUUUUCUCCGUAUUUAAUUAAUUUUUUUUGCUACUCUCCCGAUUAAUCUCUAAUGUUCAAUUUUUGAAUUUCCCGCCAACUCGUUUUUUGUACACUUUUUUUUCAGAAUAUCCCCACUAGCAAACCUACUUGAUUUUAUAAAUACAAAUUUCUGAAAAUUCUAUUUCUUUUUCAAAAAAAAAUGUAUUUUUGGUUGUAGAUCAUCCUGAGAAUAUUUUCACACUGAAAACCAUUUUAAAAACUCAAAAAUGACCAAUAAAUGGGUGGAGCC
RNA transcript from Caenorhabditis elegans, 2930 nucleotides. It is a transcript of the gene named Non-coding transcript of protein-coding gene ash-2, with no coding region annotated. The transcript is spliced from 11 exons. The record is from RefSeq and is marked reviewed. Lineage: Eukaryota; Metazoa; Nematoda; Chromadorea; Rhabditida; Rhabditidae.